Molecule: ribosomal RNA, 450 nt
Filed under: uncultured bacterium
Lineage: Bacteria
Description: SSU rRNA
Rfam family: Bacterial small subunit ribosomal RNA
Source: RNAcentral
AGAACGAACGCUGGCGGCGCGCUUAACACAUGCAAGUCGAACGCACCGGUUUCGGCCGGUGAGUGGCGGACGGGUGAGUAACGCGUGGGAACCUGCCCUUUGGUCUGGGAUAACCGCGGGAAACCGCGGCUAAGACCGGAUAUUCCCGUGAGGGGAAAGACAUGUCGCCGAAGGAUGGGCCCGCGUCGGAUUAGGUAGUUGGUGGGGUAAAGGCCUACCAAGGCGACGAUCCAUAGCUGGUCUUAGAGGAUGAUCAGCCACACUGGGACUGAGACACGGCCCAGACUCCUACGGGAGGCAGCAGUGGGGAAUAUUGGACAAUGGGCGAAAGCCCGAUCCAGCAAUGCCGCGUGAGUGAUGAAGGCCUUAGGGUUGUAAAGCUCUUUUACCCGGGAUGAUAAUGACAGUACCGGGAGAAUAAGCUCCGGCUAACUCCGUGCCAGCAGCCGC